This 39-nucleotide ribosomal RNA is filed under the name Diaporthe azadirachtae. RNAcentral describes it as "Phomopsis azadirachtae partial 28S ribosomal RNA". The record is from RNAcentral. Lineage: Eukaryota; Fungi; Ascomycota; Sordariomycetes; Diaporthales; Diaporthaceae.
CGGAUCAGGUAGGAAUACCCGCUGAACUUAAGCAUAUCA